UGAAGUCUUAGCCCUCUUCUGAUCUUGUGGUUUGUCUGCCACCCUGUUCUAUCAGUGGAUCUCAGCAGGCUAGCUGAGACAAGAGUGUGCUGGGACCUGCUCUAUUUUUUCUUGUUUAGAGCCCUGCUCAUUCAGUGAAUGGGCAUAGAAGUAAAAAGAUAUUUACAGAGAACUGUGAAAGAACACUGACUUCUGGCAAAUUCUCUGUACCUUCACUUCACUGCAGUGCAGGAGAGAAUAGGCUUAACAGGAAUAGAAGAAAAGGACUGCAAAGGAAGGAACAAGCCAGAAAACAGCUUCUUGGAUUUCAUUCUCGGAGAGAGCAAGUUCAAGAGUAUAGAACUGCCAAGGCCAGCAGGAGAAUUCGCAGCUGUUGAUGAGAGCAGGAAGGGAUCUUUUAUCUCCAGGAGGUAUUCUAGGAAUGGCCUACAAUAAGUGAGUAGGAACUGACAAUUUAUUUUUUUUUUUCCUUCCAUAGAAUGAUGUUCAGUUGUCUAUGGUCUGACGUUUCAAAAAAAAAAAAAAAAAAAAAAAAAAGAAGCUCCAACUGAUAAGGAGAAAGUAGAGUUGGAGAGUUAGAUUCCACUUCUCAAUGCUUUGUUGCUCCUUUUUUCUUUUUUUUUUUUUUUUUUUUUCAGUGAAGAGCCUUGCCACAGGAAAUAAAAUGCUGUACCAAAGAGCUUUAGUAAACUAC
Molecule: long non-coding RNA, 694 nt
Organism: Coturnix japonica (Japanese quail)
Lineage: Eukaryota; Metazoa; Chordata; Aves; Galliformes; Phasianidae
Source: Ensembl